Molecule: long non-coding RNA, 782 nt
Filed under: Anser brachyrhynchus (Pink-footed goose)
Lineage: Eukaryota; Metazoa; Chordata; Aves; Anseriformes; Anatidae
Description: lncRNA (ENSABRG00000008881.1)
Source: RNAcentral
CUUUUUCUUUAAAGUAAAUAUAGCAAUCCAAAAAGGAAUUAAAUACUAACCUUCCAAAAUGCUACCAUAGGCUAAUGUGCAAAAGCAAUCUGUGUAGACAGCAGCAACGGAAGCUUUUAUGGCCUGCUUCUCUUCCUCCAGAUCUGAACGUGCAGCUAUUUUAGAGACUGAUCACAAUGUCACUUCAAGCCUUUGCAACUCUUCUGGCACCAGAGAGAGAAGCUAAUGUGACUCAUUCCGGAGAAGCUCAAAAUACUCCUAUUUAAAAGUCAGAUGCAGACUUACUACAGUGGUGCAUUCCAGAAUGUCAACAGGAAACUCAUUUGCCAUGAAUUACGAGAAGCAGAACUGGAAGAAGAGCAAGGUGUUUUUCAAAAUCAUGCACUGACCAGAGAGGACCAUAAGCAAACACGCUUCCCAACCAUUGAUUAUUAUCACAAUUCCUUCAGUAGUGAAAACUCUUGUUACCUGAUAAUAGUCUUGAAGAAAUUUUGGACAGAGCAAGGAAGACCCAAAACCUGAUGGAAUCAUUCUUUCUCCCCCAUUUCAAAAUUCCCUAUGGACAGACCAGAUGGUCAAGCUUCUAUGGCUCUUCCUGACUUUGAAGACAGUCACCAUCCUUGACUGCUGACCUUUUGAGGUGAGUAGUAAGGCAGGAUUAUGUCUCAGCAGUGAUUUUUGUUUGUUUUUCUCAUACCAACAACACACUAAUAAUUAAUGACUGCUCCACAGUUAGAAAGGGCAUACCUGCUGUACCCAAUGAAUUUGAUCCCAUUGAACUC